AGAAUUUUUGUUAUUUAUAUGGUUUUGCUUUUGUGGUUUGAUGCAAGGCCAUGUAGAGUUGAGCAGGUUUCAUUGGUAAGAAGAAUUCUACUGGAUGUUUUCAUUUAUAAAGUAGAAAGGAGAAUUCUACUUAGAUGUUUUCAUUUAUAAAGUAGAAAAUUCUUAACAUUAGAAGAAGCACAAUGCAUUUCAUAUCUUUGCACCUGCAUUUUGAUGGAUGGCAACGGAAAUUUGUGGUAGUGAGUAUGUUGAAAGGAUUGUAUACUAUGAGUUAAAUGAAGUACAUGCGAAGGCUUAUUUUUUGCUUAAGUGAUGGGGUUGUGUUUUGGGGUUUUAGUGAGAAUAGAACUUAGAGCAAGCACUAUGGUAUGAAAGUCUUUCAUAUCUUAGAUUUGUUCCAUAGAAUCAUAACUACUAUGGUUGUUUUUCACCAUGGAAAUACACUUGGCGCAACAUUUGAAGGGAAUAAUUCCAUCAAGUCAAAGACGGACCGGAUGGGGAUUUAUGUCUAAAUACAGUUACUUCUAAUGAUGUUGUGAAUGUGUAUGGGAUAAUUGCUUAUCCGGCCAUUCAUCAACAGUUUUGUUAAAAUUGUGUACUGUAAGUAAAGGAAUUAAAGCAACUUUCCCAUCCGCCGUCUGCUGCAUGGAAAUGUUCCUUGCAUUUGUUGGAAAAACAAUUUAUUUAAGGCGAAAGGGAACGUAGUGGUUGCUUUUCCAUGAAAGUCACCUUGGGAUGGAAGACAUCCAUGGCAUAGUGCUUGCCCUUAGAAAUGAUAGUGUAUCGAGUGAUUUUGAUCAAAUUAUUUCUCUUGCAUGAAAACUAGAAUGUUGCAGCGUAGUUUGCUAGUUACCUUUGCGACAGUGACUAAUAAAAUUUUUUGUUCGAUCAAAAAGCACUUUUUCCAUACAAUGAUGAACGCAUCCAGAAAGGACUGUCCAUAUGGGGAACAAUGUUUAAAUUUAGCUGCUUUUAGUGAUGUCGUGAUUUAUGACAAGUAAAUGUCUGGAUAUAGGACAAUUGUUUAUCUGAACAUUUAAUAUGCGGAUUUUUGCAUGGUAUUGACGCGGUGCUUGGACUUAGGAAGACAUUUACGGCUGAUGCGUGCAGAGGAAAAUUUUCCACGGAAUUCUUCUUGACAUAUCAGUAAUAGAAUUUUCCAUACGCGAGGUACUAGGUUCUAUUAACUAAAAUUCUGCGCAGCUGAGAUAAGAAAAAGAAGAGAGUUACGAGAUUGCUAAUGUAGGCAUCAGUUCUCACAAAUAGAUAUUUCAAAAGUAAAGAAAUUAAAAGAAACUAUCCCAUAUGAACAGAAGGCCCAUACAAUGUCCCCGGCAUCCUCAAAACCUUACUGGAUAAAGAGUAUAUCCAAGUUGAAAAACAGCCCAUAUUUUUCCAUAGAAGAAUCCCAUACCGUUCUGUUUGCUAGAAGAAGUGAUAGUAUAUCGAGUCAGUUGAUCAAAAUUGUUUUUCUUGCAUGAAAACUAUAAUUUGCAGUGUAGUUUGUUACUGCUACAUUUGCAGUCGUGAAUAUCGUACUUUUCUUUCAUAACUUACUGUAAGUGUAGUGUUGAAAAUUUGUUUAGAAAUAUAUAACUAUAGUGGGUUAACGUUCAAAAUUUGUUUGUUCUGCAAUAAAUUACGGGCCUACUGAAAAUGGAAAUUCGCGAUGUUACAAUUUCUGACGUGCGAGGCUUUGGUGCUCAGGGUGGGUCAACAGAGAGAGGCUGGUUCUGAACUUUCUAAAGACAAUUUCAUAUCUAAGUUAAACUGGAGACUGGUGUCAACAGAGAACAGGUUGAGGAAGUAAUUGCCAAGAUAAUCGAGGAAGCAAGAACUGGGGAGAUCGGUGAUGGCAAGAUAUUUUAUGCUGAGAGACUAUCCAAAUUUGGCUAGGGAUUCUUUCUUCUCGUUCAAGUUGUUCCCUCGCUGGAUUUUUGUUCAAUGAUGGAUAUGGCAACUGAGUCAAAAAGGAUGAAUAGUUCUGGUCCAUCAGCAGUUUCAAAUUUCUCAGGAGGUUUUCCACGUAACAUACUCUGGUUGACGAAGAACCACUGCAUCUUUUUGAAUUUUUGAAGGGUCUAGAUUAGCCUGGGUGCAAUUUGAGGUGCAUGUCACUCUUGCAUUUGUGUUUUUGUUCGCGUAAGAUACAUGCAGUGGCUUAUAAUGAAGCAUCAUCAUUCUGUUUGGUUCCAACUAAUAUAAGUUACUAAAAAUCAGUUAACUUCAUCAAAAAAUUACACUCUGUUAAUCAAUCUGUAUCAGUCUGUUGCAACCGAGGAAGUGAGAUUGGUGCUCAGAGGAUCUUAGAGGUGCUCAUAUUUUCUUGUUCAUACCACUUGUCACGAUGAUCUAUCUGUAUUUCCUAAUUUCAACUUCUAGAAAUUUUGCAACAGCGUUCUUCAGUUUGGAUUAAAACCUGGGAAUCUGAAUCUGUUACUUUAUAAGUCACAAUGUUUGUUAUUAAUCACCAGACUUUGAUAGUGUAAACCUUAUUCUUCAUAGAAUAUGAACUACUAUUUCACUUUUGGUA
Papaver somniferum (opium poppy) is the source of this 2533-nucleotide long non-coding RNA. RefSeq lists it as uncharacterized. The record is from RefSeq and is a predicted model, not a curated record. Lineage: Eukaryota; Viridiplantae; Streptophyta; Magnoliopsida; Ranunculales; Papaveraceae. The transcript has 4 exons.